This 254-nucleotide ribosomal RNA is filed under the name uncultured bacterium. RNAcentral describes it as "partial 16S ribosomal RNA". It matches the Rfam family "Bacterial small subunit ribosomal RNA", at positions 524 to 776 of the family's 1533-position model. The record is from RNAcentral.
GACAUAGGUGGCGAACGUUAUCCGGAAUUACUGGGCGUAAAGAGUGCGUAGGUGGUUCAAUAAGUUACUGGUGGGAAAUCGGGGCUCAACCUCGUGGAAGUCAGUAAUACUAUUAAACUAGAGGGUCGGAGAGGUUAACGGAAUUCUAUGUGUAGCGGUAAAAUGCUUAAAUAUAUAGAGGAACACCAAACGGCGAAGGCAGUUAACUAUUCGAUUCCUGACGUUGAGGCACGAAAGCGUGGGGAGCAAGACGG